UAGUAUCGGAACGUGCCCAGUCGUGGGGGAUAACUGCUCGAAAGAGCAGCUAAUACCGCAUACGACCUGAGGGUGAAAGCGGGGGAUCGCAAGACCUCGCGCGAUUGGAGCGGCUGAUAUCAGAUUAGGUAGUUGGUGAGGUAAAGGCUCACCAAGCCGACGAUCUGUAGCUGGUCUGAGAGGACGACCAGCCACACUGGGACUGAGACACGGCCCAG
Molecule: ribosomal RNA, 218 nt
Filed under: uncultured bacterium
Lineage: Bacteria
Description: partial 16S ribosomal RNA
Rfam family: Bacterial small subunit ribosomal RNA
Source: RNAcentral